Molecule: long non-coding RNA, 322 nt
Filed under: Oryctolagus cuniculus (rabbit)
Lineage: Eukaryota; Metazoa; Chordata; Mammalia; Lagomorpha; Leporidae
Description: lncRNA (ENSOCUG00000033463.1)
Source: RNAcentral
AGUGCCUCUAACGCCGGGCACCCAGAACUGCCUGGAACGUAGCGGUAGAACUUCUGCACUGAUUUCCAAACAGCUCUCAGAAAUCCUGCUCAGUACACUGGAAUCAUAGCUGCCAAAGGCUUCCUGAAGCCACGGCUUCUAACCAAUCAUUUGGAAGAAGAAGGAAACUAAGGCGCAGAUGUUCGGUGCAGGGGACAGCACCCCACGGGCAGUGUUGCAAAUAGCCACACAAGCAAAAACAGCCAAACAAAGCCCAGAAACGGCUUCUAAAGGGUGCGGCCAACGCUGACUCCAGCCUUGGGGACACACUGAUGUCAGGAAA